Molecule: non-coding RNA, 763 nt
Organism: Lolium perenne
Lineage: Eukaryota; Viridiplantae; Streptophyta; Magnoliopsida; Poales; Poaceae
Source: RefSeq, a predicted model, not a curated record
CAACUCCGAUUUCAGAUCCGUUUGUUUCUACGCGUUCCUAACUUCGAGCCCCACCUUUUCCACCGACCUAUGGUCUCUAUAAACUCUCCACCAGACCGCAGUUUCAUUUUCCCUUUCCUUCUCUCGAAAUCCUACAUCAACGAAAUCUUAACUCGUUGAUUUGACCACCAAAAUUACCUCUAAUCGCCUCAGGCUCUACACAAAAGUUGUAGAUCUCAUCGAGAUCUUUCAAUCUCGACCAAUCUCAUCUCUUUUCGUCCACCAUACAUGGAUAAUUUCGCAUCGCAAGCCGUCAGGUCUGACAAAGGGAAUCUUCAAUUAGUUCGUGCUCGUUCCACGAAAUCCAAAUUCCUUUAAUCUAUUUCGAGUCAACCGGAGCCAAAUCGAGUUUCAAAACCAUCUCGAAUCGUCAUGACCUCAACACGGAAGUUGUUCCUCUCGUCAAGAUCUUUCAAUUGCCGCAAGUUUCACCUUGUUUCGUUCACCGAGCAAGGAGAAAAUCGUGUUGCAAGAUUCGGAUCUUAUAAGGUUCGUCUGAGGAGGAGUACUAGGUAGGAUCUCGAGUCUACAUUCCAACAUGUCUGCCUGUGGCGCAUGAAGACAAUGGAGGCUCACUGCAGUUAUUUUCCGUUGUGUUUGCUUUGAACAUUUAUAUUUGAGCUAGUCUAUUUUGGCUAUGCAAUUUGUAAGACUUUAUUUUUAUCUCCUGAGGAUCUGCGUUGUAAUAAAUUUGAUACUAUUGCUAUGAUUACUACAUUUGAAA